This is a non-coding RNA of Heligmosomoides polygyrus, 157 nucleotides long. The record is from Rfam. NCBI's taxonomy places the organism in Eukaryota, Metazoa, Nematoda, Chromadorea, Rhabditida, Heligmosomidae.
AUUGUUGCGAUAGUAAUCCUGCUUAGUACGAGAGGAACAGCAGGUUCAGACAUUUGGUUCAUGGACUUGACCGAUCGGUCAAUGGUCCGAAGCUACCAUCUGGGGGAUUAUGACUGAACGCCUCUAAGUCAGAAUCCCACCUAGUCAAGGCAGCGAU